ACGGCCAUACCACGUUGAAAUCACCGGUUCUCAUCCGUUCACCGAAGUUAAGCAAAGUCAAUCAGUACUUGGAAAAAAAUUCAUCUAAAUACACCAGGUGUUGUAAGCA
Non-coding RNA from Cordylochernes scorpioides, 109 nucleotides. The record is from the annotation of a GenBank genome assembly. NCBI's taxonomy places the organism in Eukaryota, Metazoa, Arthropoda, Arachnida, Pseudoscorpiones, Chernetidae.